Molecule: long non-coding RNA, 1832 nt
Organism: Trichomycterus rosablanca
Lineage: Eukaryota; Metazoa; Chordata; Actinopteri; Siluriformes; Trichomycteridae
Exons: 5
Source: RefSeq, a predicted model, not a curated record
CGUUCAUGUCGUUGUUAUCGUUCACUUGGUCCCGGGUCGGGAGGCGGGUGUUGGCGGCGGGGACCCGGCCUGUAGGGAGCGAGAGUGAUCCCGAACACCACCGGAGAGGCGCCGGAAGUCGCGCCGGAACUGUAGCGUGUGUCCGCGCUCGGUUCGGCGUGUGAGGUGUGGGACGAUGGAUCGAUAUUUUACCGUGUUUACGGUUUUAAUCGUAUCUGAUGUAAGAACGUGAAUAAUGAAGAAUCCUGCAGCGAGACGCGCGCGCUGAUCUGAUCUGAUCUCAGCACGAGACCCACAGGAGCGGUGGUCACUGUUCACACGAGGUCGUAUCGGACACGGUCACGGACAAAUCAGCGUCUUCGAUGAACCUCACUCGCACGUCUUUGGACCGUGGGAGGAAACCGGAGCACCCGGAGCAAAGUGGAGUAUAGUAGGUUGAGCCGAGCGUGGGAGACCCAAGGAGGACAAAAGCUCAAGAGUCCCACCGUCCUGACCGUUGAAGAACAGGGUGAAAGGGGGCUAACGGAGCAUGCAGAGAGACAGACGGACUACAGUCAGUAACUGUAGAGCUACAAAGCGCUUCUAUACGGAGCGGUGGUCACUGUUCACACGAGGUCGUAUCGGACACGGUCACGGACAAAUCAGCGUCUUCGAUGAACCUCACUCGCACGUCUUUGGACCGUGGGAGGAAACCGGAGCACCCGGAGCAAAGUGGAGGUCGACCCGUACCCUCUGUCCCUGUACCAUCCCGCCCCCCAGGCCGACAGACCCCGAAGAGGUCCGGGAAACGGGUGACUAAAUAUCUCUUUUUAUCUUUUGAAAUUAAAAGUUAGUCAAGGUCAGUCUCUCGGUCUCUGUACGGAGUGGAUAGCGAUACGAUCGUCCCGCUAUAUCUAAACGAACACGGUCACGUUAAUAAAUGAAAUGAGACGAGACUCGAACGGGGUCUCGUCGUGUGUUUGUGUGAUGGAUAUUCCUACGUCUUUGUGUGGGUUUUAUGAGGGUCCCUGACUCGUAAGCUGCAGUGGGAACUUAUUAGAUGGAUGGAUGGAUGGAUGGAGCCCUAACACGUGUGUGUUUUGUGGAGCGUGUUAACGUAGUCAUCUUUUCUUUUUCUUGGUCGGGUGCCGCACGUGUCCGGGCGAACGGAGGCGAGCGGACACCGAGCUCGAGCGGUCGAGCCGAACCCCGUGGCGCCGAUCGACCGUCAAUCGUCGCCUCGGGAGACGAGGAGGGUCACCGGGGCGGUCCUCCGAACGGUACCGGAGGUCAGGAGCGGUGGGACGACUCUGCAGGAGCCCGGCGGGGUCUUACCCACGGCCAUCUCGGGGGUUCCCGGCAGGAUACGGGCCGGCCGCUCCAGCGCCUCCAUCUCGUCUGUCUGCGACCGGGUCGUCGUGUCGAGACGCCCGUUUUAAGGACGUUUCUUCUUCCGCACAGGGCGACACGAUCUCCUCGAGUUUGUCCUGGUUGAGCACUUUUGUUUGAAAAUGUUUACGUACAAAUAAUAAUCAGUCCAUGUCGUGGAUUAAAGUUAGUUAGGACCAGAGGUGGAAAGUAACGAAUUACAUUUACUGGCGUUACUGUAAUUGAGUGUACUUUUUUUGUGUACUUGGACUUUUUUUAAGUAGAUCUCACAGCCUGUAAUGUUACUUUUACUCGAGUAUGUUUUGUAUUAAGAAUUGUAAUUGGCUACAUUUCAACCAAGAUCCGUCACCGAGUAAAAUAAUAGACGCUAUAGAAAUCGCGUCUGGGAAACAUUCCGCGACGGGGAGUCGGAUCUUUUGUCUCGGUUCCUUCUAAAGGUACUAAGACACUAUCUAUAGAAAGAA